AACGAACGCUGGCGGCAUGCCUAACACAUGCAAGACGAACGAGACCUUCGGGUCUAGUGGCGCACGGGUGCGUAACGCGUGGGAACCUGCCCUUAGGUUCGGAAUAACUCCCCGAAAGGGGUGCUAAUACCGGAUAAUGUCUUCGGACCAAAGAUUUAUCGCCUUUGGAUGGGCCCGCGUUGGAUUAGCUAGUUGGUAGGGUAAAAGCCUACCAAGGCGACGAUCCAUAGCUGGUCUGAGAGGAUGAUCAGCCACACUGGGACUGAGACACGGCCCAGACUCCUACGGGAGGCAGCAGUGGGGAAUAUUGGACAAUGGGCGAAAGCCUGAUCCAGCAAUGCCGCGUGAGUGAUGAAGGCCUUAGGGUUGUAAAGCUCUUUUACCCGGGAUGAUAAUGACAGUACCGGGAGAAUAAGCUCCGGCUAACUCCGU
This 432-nucleotide ribosomal RNA is filed under the name uncultured bacterium. RNAcentral describes it as "partial 16S ribosomal RNA". It matches the Rfam family "Bacterial small subunit ribosomal RNA", at positions 29 to 506 of the family's 1533-position model. The record is from RNAcentral.